UACGAAGGGGGCUAGCGUUGCUCGGAAUCACUGGGCGUAAAGCGCACGUAGGCGGCUUCUUAAGUCAGGGGUGAAAUCCUGGAGCUCAACUCCAGAACUGCCUUUGAUACUGAGGAGCCUGAGUCCGGGAGAGGUGAGUGGAACUGCGAGUGUAGAGGUGAAAUUCGUAGAUAUUCGCAAGAACACCAGUGGCGAAGGCGGCUCACUGGCCCGGUACUGACGCUGAGGUGCGAAAGCGUGGGGAGCAAACAGG
Molecule: ribosomal RNA, 253 nt
Filed under: uncultured bacterium
Lineage: Bacteria
Description: partial 16S ribosomal RNA
Rfam family: Bacterial small subunit ribosomal RNA
Source: RNAcentral